CUGUAAUUUUAUCAAAAUUCGAGUUGCCAAGGAAACAUUGAAUAAACGGUACAAGAUCGGGGACAAACAUUCGAUAGUAAUUCGAAAUUUGUACGCUGUUUAAAAUAAAGAUGAGCAAAGAAUCGAAAAGAGAAAACAAAGCACUUUAUGAAUAUCUUCAAGGUACACUUGAAGAUGACAAGUUACAUUGGAUCAGAAACUCAGCUAAAAUCAGGGCGUCUUACACAUCAAAAAAUUACGACGAAUUUAGAGAAAUUGUUGCUGCAGCACACCUAAAACCUUUAUCAAAACAAGAUAUGAGACGAAAACAACCUGAGUGGAGAUGUACAGAUUUGGAUUAAAAAUAUAUUGAUAUAACAUUGCACAAUAGGCACACUUUAUGACACUGCUCCUGCUUUCACUUUAGUUAAAAUAGAAAAUAUACACUAAUAUAAGAAAACAUUUGGGUGUAUUUCUGAGUUUAUGGUUAUUGUAUUAGGUUAACAUAAGUAAAUACGAUUUGAUAUUGAA
This is a long non-coding RNA of Aethina tumida (small hive beetle), 510 nucleotides long. RefSeq lists it as uncharacterized. The transcript has 2 exons. The record is from RefSeq and is a predicted model, not a curated record. NCBI's taxonomy places the organism in Eukaryota, Metazoa, Arthropoda, Insecta, Coleoptera, Nitidulidae.